ACACCCCUGCUAUGUUUGUGAUUGCAUUAUGUCCUUUGCCUAACACUACAAAAAACAGGGUCUUCACUCUGAUGCUGGUGUGCAUAUUCCUUAGAACUUAAGGAGAAGCCUAAAAGUAUUAUCGGGGACCUAUAUUGAACCUUCGGUUCAAAGACAUCGGCAACACGGCACAAUGUGGGGGUUUU
RNAcentral lists this non-coding RNA (185 nucleotides) under Desulfamplus sp. Its description in RNAcentral is "6S RNA". It matches the Rfam family "6S / SsrS RNA". From Rfam's summary of the family: E. coli 6S RNA was the first non coding RNA to be sequenced, but its function was unknown until recently. It consists of 184 nucleotides that fold into an extended hairpin structure with a large single-stranded internal bulge. The record is from RNAcentral. Lineage: Bacteria; Pseudomonadati; Thermodesulfobacteriota; Desulfobacteria; Desulfobacterales; Desulfobacteraceae.